Molecule: non-coding RNA, 99 nt
Organism: Acanthosepion pharaonis
Lineage: Eukaryota; Metazoa; Mollusca; Cephalopoda; Sepiida; Sepiidae
Source: the annotation of a GenBank genome assembly
GUUGAAACACCGAUUCUUGUAAGAUCAUCGAAGUUAAGCAAUGUCGAGCCUGGGCAGUACCUAGAUGGGAGAUCGCUUGUGAAUACCGGGUGCCGCACG